UACGAAGGGGGCUAGCGUUGUUCGGAAUUACUGGGCGUAAAGGGCGCGUAGGCGGUGUGUCAAGUCAGGCGUGAAAGCCCCGGGCUCAACCUGGGAACAGCGCUUGAGACUGGCACGCUCGAGUUCGGGAGAGGAUGGUGGAAUUCCCAGUGUAGAGGUGAAAUUCGUAGAUAUCGGGAAGAACACCCGUGGCGAAGGCGGCUCUCUGGGACGGUACUGACGCUGAGACGCGAAAGCGUGGGGAGCGAACAGG
Molecule: ribosomal RNA, 253 nt
Filed under: uncultured bacterium
Lineage: Bacteria
Description: partial 16S ribosomal RNA
Rfam family: Bacterial small subunit ribosomal RNA
Source: RNAcentral